UUGGAAUGUUUUUCUCAAGGCAUUGUCUAAAGAAUUCCAUGAUUUUAUGGUUUAGAAAAGCAUUGGUUCAUAUAAACUAUAUACUUCCUUUUAUGAUCAGCAUUAGUUUUCCUCCAUGUCUGAAUUAUCUUCUCUCUAUUGGACUUGAUAUUCCAUAUUGUUCUGCUAGUUUACGGCAGGAUUCCCCUACAUCAAUACGAUUUAAGAUCUCUGCCUUCUCUAAUGUUAGUUCAAUUAGUUUGCAUUUGCUCAUUGUGAAUACUGUACUAUUCUCCAUUUGGUUUUAAUGAAUUUGUAUGUGCUAUAAAAAAUUAACGAAAAUAUAUAUUAUAUACAUGCCUUUUACAGCACUUGAUAAAAUAAUUUCAUUAACACUAUGCUUUGCUACCAUUGUUGAAUUUUAAUAAAUUAAUAUCAAUGUUGACUAAACCUUUUUUCU
RNAcentral lists this long non-coding RNA (439 nucleotides) under Androctonus crassicauda. Lineage: Eukaryota; Metazoa; Arthropoda; Arachnida; Scorpiones; Buthidae. The record is from RNAcentral.